AAACAUGCAAGUCGAGCGGGGAAAGGUAGCUUGCUACCUGACCUAGCGGCGGACGGGUGAGUAAUGCUUAGGAAUCUGCCUAUUAGUGGGGGACAACAUUCCGAAAGGAAUGCUAAUACCGCAUACGCCCUACGGGGGAAAGCAGGGGAUCUUCGGACCUUGCGCUAAUAGAUGAGCCUAAGUCAGAUUAGCUAGUUGGUGGGGUAAAGGCCUACCAAGGCGACGAUCUGUAGCGGGUCUGAGAGGAUGAUCCGCCACACUGGGACUGASACACGGCCCAGACUCCUACGGGAGGCAGCAGUGGGGAAUAUUGGACAAUGGGCGCAAGCCUGAUCCAGCCAUGCCGCGUGUGUGAAGAAGGCCUUUUGGUUGUAAAGCACUUUAAGCGAGGAGGAGGCUAC
RNAcentral lists this ribosomal RNA (401 nucleotides) under Acinetobacter sp. WTPout_57. RNAcentral's name for it is "bacterial SSU rRNA". It matches the Rfam family "Bacterial small subunit ribosomal RNA", at positions 51 to 454 of the family's 1533-position model. Lineage: Bacteria; Pseudomonadati; Pseudomonadota; Gammaproteobacteria; Moraxellales; Moraxellaceae. The record is from RNAcentral.